UACGUAGGGUGCGAGCGUUGCCCGGAUUUACUGGGCGUAAAGGGCGCGUAGGCGGGCGUGACAAGUCACUUGUGAAAUCUCCGGGCUUAACUCGGAACGGUCAAGUGAUACUGUCGGACUAGAGUACAGAAGGGGCAACUGGAAUUCUCGGUGUAGCGGUGAAAUGCGUAGAUAUCGAGAGGAACACCUGCGGCGAAGGCGGGUUGCUGGGCUGAUACUGACGCUGAGGCGCGAAAGCCAGGGGAGCGAACGGG
Molecule: ribosomal RNA, 254 nt
Filed under: uncultured bacterium
Lineage: Bacteria
Description: partial 16S ribosomal RNA
Rfam family: Bacterial small subunit ribosomal RNA
Source: RNAcentral